Molecule: microRNA precursor, 95 nt
Filed under: Chlorocebus sabaeus (green monkey)
Lineage: Eukaryota; Metazoa; Chordata; Mammalia; Primates; Cercopithecidae
Description: miRNA (ENSCSAG00000027768.1)
Rfam family: mir-572 microRNA precursor family
Source: RNAcentral
GUAGAGGCUGUGGCCCGGAAGUGAUCGGGGCCGCCGCAGACGGAAGGGCGCCUCUGCUUCGUCCGCUCGGCGGUGGCCCAGCCAGGCCCGCGGGA